Molecule: ribosomal RNA, 1341 nt
Filed under: uncultured bacterium
Lineage: Bacteria
Description: bacterial SSU rRNA
Rfam family: Bacterial small subunit ribosomal RNA
Source: RNAcentral
GACGAACGCUGGCGGCGUGCUUAACACAUGCAAGUCGAACGGUAAGGCCCUUCGGGGUACACGAGUGGCGAACGGGUGAGUAACACGUGGGUAAUCUGCCCUGCACUUCAGGAUAAGCCUGGGAAACUGGGUCUAAUAUCGGAUAUUCAGUUCCUGCCUCAUGGUGGGGGUUGGAAAGUUUUUCGGUGCAGGAUGAGCCCGCGCCCUAUCACCUUGUUGGUGGGGUAAGGGCCUACCAAGGCCACCACCGCUAGCCGGUCUUAGAUGGUGAUCGGGCACACUGGGACUGAGACACGGCCCAGACUCCUAUCUCAGGAAGCAUUGGGGAAUAUUGCAUAUUGCGCGUAAGCCUGAUCCAGAAACACCCACCGCUGGAUGACGGUUUACGGAUUGUGAACCCCUUUCAUUUUGCACUAAGCGUAAGUGACAAUUUCUGCUUAUGAACCACCAGUCGACGUGCUGCCCGUAGCCUCAGUAAGACUUUAUAGUGUGAGGGCUUUACUCUCAUUGCUGAGGUUUUUGGCGUUUUUAAGUGCGGUUUGUCGCGUCGUCCGUGAAAACUCGGAGCUUAACUCCGAGCUUGCGGGCGAUACGGGCAGACUUGAGUACUACAGGGGAGGCUGGAAUUCCUGGUGUAGCGGUGAAAUGCGCAGAUAUCAGGAGGAACACCGGUGGCGAAGGCGGGUCUCUGGGUAGUAACUGACGCUGAGGAGCGAAAGCAUGGGUAGCGAACAGGAUUAGAUACCCUGGUAGUCCAUGCCGUAAACGGUGGGCGCUAGGUGUGGGGUCCUUCCACGGAUUCCGUGCCGUAGCUAACGCAUUAAGCGCCCCGCCUGGGGAGUACGGCCGCAAGGCUAAAACUCAAAGGAAUUGACGGGGGCCCGCACAAGCGGCGGAGCAUGUGGAUUAAUUCGAUGCAACGCGAAGAACCUUACCUAGGCUUGACAUAUACAGGACGACGGCAGAGAUGUCGUUUCCCUUGUGGCUUGUAUACAGGUGGUGCAUGGUUGUCGUCAGCUCGUGUCGUGAGAUGUUGGGUUAAGUCCCGCAACGAGCGCAACCCCUGUCUCAUGUUGCCAGCACGUUAUGGUGGGGACUCGUGAGAGACUGCCGGGGUCAACUCGGAGGAAGGUGGGGAUGACGUCAAAUCAUCAUGCCCCUUAUGUCUAGGGCUUCACACAUGCUACAAUGGCUAGUACAGAGGGCUGCGAUACCGUGAGGUGGAGCGAAUCCCUUAAAGCUGGUCUCAGUUCGGAUUGGGGUCUGCAACUCGACCCCAUGAAGUCGGAGUCGCUAGUAAUCGCAGAUCAGCAACGCUGCGGUGAAUACGUUCCCGGGCCU